CCUACGGGAGGCAGCAGUGAGGAAUAUUGGUCAAUGGACGGAAGCCUGAACCAGCCAUGCCGCGUGCAGGAUGACGGCUCUAUGAGUUGUAAACUGCUUUUGUACAAGGGUAAACCUGGAUACGUGUAUUCAGCUGAAAGUACUGUACGAAUAAGGAUCGGCUAACUCCGUGCCAGCAGCCGCGGUAAUACGGAGGAUCCAAGCGUUAUCCGGAUUUAUUGGGUUUAAAGGGUGCGUAGGUGGAUUGUUAAGUUAGAGGUGAAAUGUCAGGGCUUAACUGUGGAACUGCCAUUGAUACUGGUGAUCGAGAGAGUAGAUGCGGUAGGCGGAAUGUGUGGUGUAGCGGUGAAAUGCUUAGAGAUCAUGCAGAACACCGAUUGCGAAGGCAGCUUACCAGUCUAUAUCUGACGUUGAGGCACGAAAGCGUGGGGAGCAAACAGGAUUAGAUACCCCUGUAGUC
RNAcentral lists this ribosomal RNA (460 nucleotides) under uncultured bacterium. RNAcentral describes it as "partial 16S ribosomal RNA". It matches the Rfam family "Bacterial small subunit ribosomal RNA", at positions 338 to 795 of the family's 1533-position model. The record is from RNAcentral.